RNAcentral lists this ribosomal RNA (439 nucleotides) under uncultured bacterium. RNAcentral describes it as "partial 16S ribosomal RNA". It matches the Rfam family "Bacterial small subunit ribosomal RNA", at positions 339 to 795 of the family's 1533-position model. The record is from RNAcentral.
CUACGGGGGGCUGCAGUGAGGAAUAUUGCACAAUGGAGGAAACUCUGAUGCAGCAACGCCGCGUGGAGGAUGACGCAUUUCGGUGUGUAAACUCCUUUUAUAUGUCAAGAAAAUGACGGUAGCAUAUGAAUAAGCUCCGGCUAACUCCGUGCCAGCAGCCGCGGUAAUACGGAGGGAGCAAGCGUUACUCGGAAUCACUGGGCGUAAAGGACGCGUAGGCGGGAUAGAAAGUCAGGUGUGAAAUCCUAUGGCUCAACCAUAGAACUGCACUUGAAACUUCUAACCUAGAGUAUGGGAGGGGAAGAUGGAAUUAGUGGUGUAGGGGUAAAAUCCGUAGAUAUCACUAGGAAUACCAAAAGCGAAGGCGAUCUUCUGGAACAAUACUGACGCUAAGGCGUGAAAGCGUGGGGAGCAAACAGGAUUAGAUACCCUCGUAGUC